Molecule: long non-coding RNA, 440 nt
Filed under: Equus asinus (donkey)
Lineage: Eukaryota; Metazoa; Chordata; Mammalia; Perissodactyla; Equidae
Description: lncRNA (ENSEASG00005025401.1)
Source: RNAcentral
UGCAGACCUGUUAUAACGACGGACCGCUCCGUGCCAAGCAGCGGGAACUGCUGUGCUUUCUCUCGGCUGCAGCCCAGAGUCUCCUUCAGGGCCAGGGGAAUGGAAAACGGGGUUCUCAGGCUGUGGACUGUCCUGCCAGAGCAGGUUCCGGGGACCGGGCAGCUGGCAUAACAACCUGCCACAGUUGCUUUAGGGUGGACCUCCGUAAGACCCCUCUGCAAAUCUUGUCCAGCUGUGUUGUGGAAGGAGUAGGACUCGGUGGAACAGGAAUGCAUUCUGGCCAGUCUGAGAAUCGCUAGAAUGUGCCAAGCUCAGAUUCAGAUGCCAGUGACCGAAGAUCUGUGGGUGGUGUGAGCGUGCCUGGUACUCCGGCAAUUUCAGCCUUUCUGUACAAUGGAGAGGCCAGGAUGCGAUUCAUUGAUACCAGACUUCUAUCCUUA